GAUGAACGCUGGCGGCGUGCCUAAUACAUGCAAGUCGAGCGAACGGACGAGAAGCUUGCUUCUCUGAUGUUAGCGGCGGACGGGUGAGUAACACGUGGAUAACCUACCUAUAAGACUGGGAUAACUUCGGGAAACCGGAGCUAAUACCGGAUGAUAUUUUGAACCGCAUGGUUCAAAAGUGAAAGACGGUCUUGCUGUCACUUAUAGAUGGAUCCGCGCUGCAUUAGCUAGUUGGUAAGGUAACGGCUUACCAAGGCAACGAUGCAUAGCCGACCUGAGAGGGUAACAGGCCACCCUGGAACUGAGACACGGUCCAGACUCCUACGGGAGGCAGCAGUAGGGAAUCUUCCGCAAUGGGCGAAAGCCUGACGGAGCAACGCCGCGUGAGUGAUGAAGGUCUUCGGAUCGUAAAACUCUGUUAUUAGGGAAGAACAUAUGUGUAAGUAACUGUGCACAUCUUGACGGUACCUAAUCAGAAAGCCACGGCUAACUACGUG
RNAcentral lists this ribosomal RNA (497 nucleotides) under uncultured bacterium. RNAcentral's name for it is "partial 16S ribosomal RNA". It matches the Rfam family "Bacterial small subunit ribosomal RNA", at positions 28 to 507 of the family's 1533-position model. The record is from RNAcentral.